CCUCUGGUAGUCUAGUGGUUAAGACGCUGAGCUUCCAAUGCAGGGGGUGUGGGUUUGAUCCCUGGUCAGGGAA
This is a transfer RNA of Ovis aries (sheep), 73 nucleotides long. It matches the Rfam family "tRNA". Rfam says of the family: Transfer RNA (tRNA) molecules are approximately 80 nucleotides in length. The record is from Rfam. Lineage: Eukaryota; Metazoa; Chordata; Mammalia; Artiodactyla; Bovidae.